GAUGAAGAACGUAGCGAAAUGCGAUAAGUAAUGUGAAUUGCAGAAUUCAGUGAAUCAUCGAAUCUUUGAACGCACAUUGCGCCCCUUGGUAUUCCGAGGGGCAUACCUGUUCGAGCGUCAUUAUAACCCCUCAAGCUCAGCUUGGUGUUGGGGCCUGCCGCACGGGCAGCCCUUAAAAUCAGUGGCGGUGCUAUCUGGCUCUAAGCGUAGUAAUUCUUCUCGCUAUAGAGUCCCGGUGGAUGCUUGCCAUUAACCCCCAAUUUUCUAUGGUUGACCUCGGAUCAGGUAGGGAUACCCGCUGAACUUAAGCAUAUCAAUAAGCGGAGGA
This 328-nucleotide unclassified non-coding RNA is filed under the name soil metagenome. RNAcentral's name for it is "partial contains 5.8S ribosomal RNA, internal transcribed spacer 2, and large subunit ribosomal RNA". The stretch from base 1 to 120 matches the Rfam family "5.8S ribosomal RNA", at positions 35 to 154 of the family's 154-position model. The record is from RNAcentral.